UAGGGAAUCUUCCACAAUGGACGAAAGUCUGAUGGAGCAACGCCGCGUGAGUGAAGGAGGGUUUCGGCUCGUAAAACUCUGUUGUUAAAGAAGAACAUAUCUGAGAGUAACUGUUCAGGUAUUGACGGUAUUUAACCAGAAAGCCACGGCUAACUACGUGCCAA
RNAcentral lists this ribosomal RNA (164 nucleotides) under uncultured bacterium. RNAcentral's name for it is "partial 16S ribosomal RNA". It matches the Rfam family "Bacterial small subunit ribosomal RNA", at positions 355 to 511 of the family's 1533-position model. The record is from RNAcentral.